CUGGCGGCGUGCAUAACACAUCAAGUCGAACGAAGCAAUGAAACGGAAGCCUUCGGGCGGAAGGUUCAUUGACUUAGUGGCGGACGGGUGAGUAACGCGUGAGCAACCUGCCUGUGAUAGAGGGAUAACACAUGGAAACGUGUGCUAAUACCACAUGAAGCGGAGAUAUCGCAUGGUAAUUCCGUUAAAGAUUUAUCGAUCGCAGAUGGGCUCGCGUAUGAUUAGGCAGUUGGUGAGGCAACGGCUCACCAAACCGACGAUCAUUAGCCGAACUGAGAGGUUGAACGGCCACAUUGGAACUGAGAAACGGUCCAGACUCCUACGGGAGGCAGCAGUGGGGAAUAUUGGGCAAUGGGCGAAAGCCUGAACCCCCAGCGACGCCGCGUGAGGGAAGAAGGUCUUCGGAUUGUAAACCUCUUUCAGUAGGGAAGAAGCAAGUGACGGUACCUACAGAAGAAGUCACGGCUAACUACGUGCCAGCAGCAGC
RNAcentral lists this ribosomal RNA (487 nucleotides) under uncultured bacterium. Its description in RNAcentral is "bacterial SSU rRNA". It matches the Rfam family "Bacterial small subunit ribosomal RNA", at positions 36 to 518 of the family's 1533-position model. The record is from RNAcentral.